UCCUGCAUCGCCGGCGAGCUAUGCCGCCACCACGUUGACAACGCCACCACGUCGAGGCCGCCGCAACAUCGAGAGACGCUGCCAGGUACUCCGCCACCAUCUGUCAUUCCUUCAUGUACUCCGUAUUUGUCAGAACGAAAAUCCAGAGUACAAACGUCAUGUACCUGAAAAUUUUGGCCUCCUUUGUUAAAUAAUCCUAGCUACAGAGAAAUUGAGAGAGAGAUCAGGCGGUCCAGGCCGGAUCACAAUGGACUGACAUAUAUACUGUGGUACAUAUUCUAUCUAUGAUGAUGCAUACUAGUAGUAUAUAGCCUGGGAAGAUGCAUGGACUUAAAAAAAAUAUUGAUUUGGAAUGCUCACACACGACCACGCCAUUGCACAUUAGUAUUCUUCAUGUAUGGAGUAACCGCGUGAUGCUAUUUUCAGAACAAAUGUAUGCGCUGUAGAAAUCAAACCAUGUAUAGUAUUUAACAAGCUUUUCAAACUUGAUGAAAUGUGCUGCUGAAUUAUUGUGCUCAUACUCAUUUGAUGAAGUUGUCAAAAUCAAACCUUUACCCUUGUGGUAUCUUGAUGACAUGAAUUGCACCUGAAUAUGAUACUGUUGCUUUUGUAGAUGUUGUCAUGCCUUCAAAUGUUAUCUUGAUGCCAUCAAUUUUCAUGGCUGCUGAAUGUAUGAGAGUGAAACAACAAAUCCAUUUUUUAACUGAUUGUUGUUUAUGCACAACGCCAUCUUUCUGUAAGACAUGAGUUCGUGGUUAGCAAGACUUUCAGAAGUGAGGAUGAAGGAUAUGAGUUAUAUCUAUAUUUGUCCACCAAUAUUAUUUCUGGUAUACUAUACAUAUUAUUACCAGGUGGUUUGUGACUUGAGGAAAAAGCUCUGGAUCGAGCCUCACGGAAUCGAUAUUGGCUAUGCAGUCCGUGGCCAAUCUGCAGGUGCUGGUGCCUCGUCUUCCCAAGGUGGUGGCUACCACCGUUAAUGCCUAACGGGAUGAAUAUGCACAAAAAACGCUAGUCAUGUGUCUACUAGACGUCGAGCUUUCUCGUUGCCGACUGGAGAUUAGAUAUGUUGGAAUAAUGCUGAUGGUGUUCUAGUUAAAUUGACUGUAAUUGGAAGAGUAUUUUGGUUGGUACUUAUUUGCAGUCAAAUAGUUUGAAAUAAAAUAUAUUUAUGUGA
Molecule: long non-coding RNA, 1174 nt
Organism: Lolium rigidum
Lineage: Eukaryota; Viridiplantae; Streptophyta; Magnoliopsida; Poales; Poaceae
Exons: 2
Source: RefSeq, a predicted model, not a curated record